This is a long non-coding RNA of Bubalus bubalis (water buffalo), 1077 nucleotides long. RefSeq lists it as uncharacterized. The transcript has 3 exons. The record is from RefSeq and is a predicted model, not a curated record. NCBI's taxonomy places the organism in Eukaryota, Metazoa, Chordata, Mammalia, Artiodactyla, Bovidae.
CAGACGACCAACCAGACAGGCCAGCCCCCUUACCUAGUGGGCCAAGCUGCCACUGUGGGGACACAGCCACGCUCCCGCCGACCCAGAGGAGGGCCUCCGCCAGGCAGGCCACGGUUCCCUUGGUCCGGCUUGGGGCAGUGUGAGCUGGAGCCUUCAAGUCCACCCUCCCAGGCGAGAGACCUCGCGGAAGCUAUGCCCAGGGCCUGGGGGCAUAGAGCCCAGGCUGGCCUGAGGGGUCCACACCAGGCAGUGAAGUUGAAAGGUCACUUCGCCAGGUCCAAGUGCAACACCCCUCGUGGGGGCCGCUGUGAGAAGAGCCCAGCCCUGAGCCAGGGGCCGCCGUGGGGCGAGCCCAGCCCUGAGCAGUGCCUGGGCUGCAGGACAGCUGGGCAGCCUGGGCCGCAGCGGCCACGGAGCUGGACGGCCCUCAGGAGCAGACAGCCUUGAGGAAUCGCCUUGCCACUGGUGGAGUAAGAAACCCUCAGAAACCUUCACGGGGCACCUCAAGGUUCCGGAUUCUGACUCCUACAUGAACCUCCAGGGAGAUGUGCCCCAGGACCCUCUGCAGGACACCAGCGUGUGACCACAGCCUGGUUGCCUGUGAGGCUCUGCCGAGGCCCCAUGGGCACCAGGGACCCGGCGCACAGCAGAGAGGUCCUGGUUGGGUCCCUGAUUCUGCUUCUCCAAGGCUGCUUCGGAGUGUCCCAGUUAGCAGGGCCCUCAAGGCACCAGGUCCAACCUCUCUUCUUUUCCAUAAGGAAAACCAAGCAGAGGGGUCUCGCCCAGGGAUCACGGCCAGGCAGAGUCAGAGCAGAGACCAGGACCCAGGCCCUGACCUCAGGCAGCACCCGUUCCAGAAAGGUCACCCCAACAGCCACACUGGUCCCUGCUGCCGCCUCCGGUGUGGGCCCCGUGGCCCAGCGCGCACACGCAUGUCUUAAUCACCUCUGCAAGGAGUCGAGCGCUUGUUUAAAGAUGGAAAGGCGGCCCCUUGGGCAACAAGGCGGUACUGACAGCCCCUCCGCUGGGAGUAACACAGCCCAGUGGCACCGAGGAAGUUUUAUUAAUUAUUUAACA